This 73-nucleotide unclassified non-coding RNA is filed under the name Brevibacillus centrosporus. Lineage: Bacteria; Bacillati; Bacillota; Bacilli; Caryophanales; Paenibacillaceae. The record is from RNAcentral.
GAACGCCGUGUGCGAUGAAAGUCGCCCGCAUGGUGUAGGCUCGUCCGAAAACCGCACAAGGUUAGGCGAGAAU